Molecule: unclassified non-coding RNA, 849 nt
Filed under: Hevea brasiliensis (rubber tree)
Lineage: Eukaryota; Viridiplantae; Streptophyta; Magnoliopsida; Malpighiales; Euphorbiaceae
Source: RNAcentral
UCUAUGGGCCUAGUGCAGCAUGAAGGUGGGCCCUGUGGCGUCUUAGCAACCAUACAAGCAUUUGUUCUCAAGUAUUUUCUUUUCUUUCCUGAUGAAUUGGGCAAAGUUGUACCAAACAUACCUCAGAAUUUGGAUUCAGGAAGACUUACUAAAGGUCGAUAUGUUGCAUCAAAUAAUUUUAGUUCUCUAAGUGAAGAUGCAAAAGCAAGAGCCCUGGUCAGAAGUAUGGGUGAAAUAUUGUUUCUAUGUGGAAGUGAUAAGAGGCUUGUGAUUGCUAAUUUGAAUGGUAUUUGCUGUGAUACUGAGGGCUUGGCUAAGGAUGAGACCAUUGCAAAAGCGCUUGAGGAUCUUUCGAUUGAGUCAGCAUCUGAUUUGCAUAAAAUUCUAAGAAUUGAAACAUACACAUCACAAGCAAGUGCGAUGCAGAGGCUGCAAGUGAUGAUUCCCGUCUUCCAAUCUCGUAUGGGGGCACUGCUAUUCCUUAUAUCUGCAUUGCUAUCUAGAGGAUUGGAUUGUGUUCAAGCUGACAGGGAUGAUCCAAGCCUUCCUCUGGUCACUGCACCUUUUGGGCAUGCCUCUCAGGAAAUAGUGAAUCUACUGCUCUGUGGGCAGGCUGUCCCUAAUGUGUUUGAUGGUAGAAUGGAUUUAGGUGGUGGCAUGUGUCUAAAGGGCAUUAUCCACAAGUGUGGAAGUUGGAUUUCUUACUCUAUUGGAAUCCCUCAAUUUCUGCAAGGUUGGUCAACAUCUAAAAUGCCCUAAAUGGCCAAUAUGGGUUGUUGGAAGCGAGUCCCACUAUACAGUUCUAUUUGCUCUUGAUACUACUGUUCAAGAUGAGAAUGAGCUGGAAGA